UACAGAGGCCCCAAGCGUUACUGAGAAUCACUGGGUUUAAAGGGUGCGUAGGUGGCGCGUUAAGUCCGUUGUGAAAUCCCUGGGCUCAACCCAGGAAAUGCUUCGGAUACUGGCGUGCUUGAGGCCGGUAGGGGUCACUGGAACUGACGGUGGAGCGGUGAAAUGCGUAGAUAUCGUCAGGAACGCCAAUGGUGAAGACAGGUGACUGGGCCGGAUCUGACACUGAGGCACGAAAGCGUGGGGAGCGAGCGGG
Molecule: ribosomal RNA, 253 nt
Filed under: uncultured bacterium
Lineage: Bacteria
Description: partial 16S ribosomal RNA
Rfam family: Bacterial small subunit ribosomal RNA
Source: RNAcentral